CAGUGUAUACGGAUUGUUUUUGGCGAUCACACUAUGACGUCAUUUUAUCGUUAGCAUUCGAAUCUUUUUGCUUAGUCGGCUAUGUGCGUGCUGAGUAUUCGUGUCCGUUUCUGUUUCGUCUUCUCGAGUCCGAUGCAUCACUCUUUGCGCCUUGCACCGCUUAAAGGGCUACUUGCAUUUGAUUUCCUUCGAGUCGAUUUGCCUUGACGAGUUCACGUUCGCUCUCUAAGACUAUGCACAAUCACUGAAGAAGGCUCGAACUGAGUCCGAAACGUUUGAUGUCAAUAAAGAAGAAAGAUCGUUUAAUGUGACCGUUUUCAUGGAUUAUUUUUUUCUUCAAAAACACG
This 347-nucleotide long non-coding RNA is filed under the name Camponotus floridanus (Florida carpenter ant). RNAcentral describes it as "uncharacterized LOC112639160". Lineage: Eukaryota; Metazoa; Arthropoda; Insecta; Hymenoptera; Formicidae. The record is from RNAcentral.